Molecule: non-coding RNA, 102 nt
Filed under: Paenibacillus polymyxa
Lineage: Bacteria; Bacillati; Bacillota; Bacilli; Caryophanales; Paenibacillaceae
Also listed under: 1 other name
Description: TPP sequence
Rfam family: TPP riboswitch aptamer (THI element)
About the family: Vitamin B(1) in its active form thiamin pyrophosphate (TPP) is an essential coenzyme that is synthesised by coupling of pyrimidine and thiazole moieties in bacteria. The previously detected thiamin-regulatory element, thi box was extended, resulting in a new, highly conserved RNA secondary structure, the THI element, which is widely distributed in eubacteria and also occurs in some archaea.
Source: RNAcentral
AAAGUCCACUAGGGGAGCCAUUAUGGCUGAGACAAGAAUGAACUUGGACCCUUUGAACCUGAUCUAGUUCGUACUAGCGUAGGAAAGUGGAGCCUUCGUAUA